AUUGCUAGAAUCUAAGUUUAUUUUUUCCCAGAAGCAACAGAAAUAAGGGACUUAAAACAAACAGAUCUUACAUGAUUGUCAAUGUACUAAUUGCAUACAAUUUAUAAAGCAACAUUAGUUUCUCGUGCAAUGUUUCCAUGUUCAAGAGUUCAAAUAACUAAGAAAACCAUCUAUCAAGUCGUCAUUAUGUAAACAUGAAAGGGGCAGUAGGCUUGCAGGGAAACAAAAUAUUGAUAGUUGAAACAUCAAUCAGUUGCACUAUCCAAGUCACUUUCUUGUAGUGUCCAAGUUGAAGUCCUGAAGGUUAAGCAACAGAUCAUCGGCACUCAAGUACACCUUGUUUGCUGCGUGUGAGAUAGUCUGGGCGAUUUCUCUGGCUGCUUCAAUCUUCCUGAGAGUGAUAAAUGCUGGAUUGUUGGCAAUAGCUUGACCAAUCAGCUGAGCACUCUUAGCUUCUCCCUGAGCUCUGAUAACAGCACUUCGCUUAUCUUGCUCAGCUUUUUCCACAACAAAUUUCGCCCUCUCGGCUUCUUGAGCAGCCACUUGUUUUGCUUCAAUUGCAGCAGUAAACUCUUUCCCAAAUGUUAAGCUUGUUAUGGAUACAUCAUCAAGUGCAAUGUUGAAGUUGGCUGCCCUGUCUGUCAAAAUCUUCCUUAUUUCUCUGCUAACAUUCUCUCUCUGGGUGAUGAGCUGGCUAGCAUUGUAUUGGGCAACCACAGCCUUCAAAGUUUCAUGGAUAAUUGAAGGUAGGACCCUUUCAUUAUAGUUUUCACCAAGAGUUCGGUAAACUGUGGGUAGUUGGUCUGAAACUGGACGAGUGAGCACCCUAAGACCAAUUUUUACCAUCUGGAGGUCACGACUUCCCGAAGUGCUCUCCACAAGAUGGGGUCGUGCACGAACAUCAUAUAUGACUGGUCUUUCAAACCAAGGAAUCAUGAAGUGUGUCCCUUCUGGAUAAACCUUGUUUUUGACACCACCAAUACGGUUGAAAACAAUCGCGCGAUGCCCACCCUCAACAUUGUAGAGACUGUUGGCAACUCCAUACACACCAAGACCAGCAAUAACUCCAAGCUUGAUCAAAGCAGAAGUUGCACCACCACCAGGCAUCUUGGGAACCUUGACAUUGUUGAGAUUCAUUUUACCAGCUCCUGAUCCGAACGAAGUAGAGAAGUUUAGGGUUUUUGGUAGAAAAUGAAGAGAGA
RNAcentral lists this unclassified non-coding RNA (1202 nucleotides) under Hevea brasiliensis (rubber tree). Lineage: Eukaryota; Viridiplantae; Streptophyta; Magnoliopsida; Malpighiales; Euphorbiaceae. The record is from RNAcentral.